GGUAGCGUGGCCGAGCGGUCUAAGGCGCUGGUUUAAGGCACCAGUCUCCUGUGAGGCGUGGGUUCGAAUCCCACCGCUGCCA
This 82-nucleotide transfer RNA is filed under the name Drosophila persimilis. RNAcentral's name for it is "tRNA-Leu (AAG) (tRNA-Leu-AAG-2-1)". It matches the Rfam family "tRNA". Rfam says of the family: Transfer RNA (tRNA) molecules are approximately 80 nucleotides in length. Their secondary structure includes four short double-helical elements and three loops (D, anti-codon, and T loops). The record is from Rfam by way of RNAcentral. Lineage: Eukaryota; Metazoa; Arthropoda; Insecta; Diptera; Drosophilidae.